RNAcentral lists this ribosomal RNA (253 nucleotides) under uncultured bacterium. RNAcentral's name for it is "partial 16S ribosomal RNA". It matches the Rfam family "Bacterial small subunit ribosomal RNA", at positions 524 to 776 of the family's 1533-position model. The record is from RNAcentral.
UACGAGGGGGGCAAGCGUUGUUCGGAAUUAUUGGGCGUAAAGGGCGCGUAGGCGGUGCGGUAAGUCUGAUGUGAAAUCUCCGGGCUCAACUCGGAGUCUGCAUCAGAAACUGCCGUGCUCGAGUGUGGGAGAGGUGAGUGGAAUUCCCAGUGUAGAGGUGAAAUUCGUAGAUAUUGGGAAGAACACCGGUGGCGAAGGCGGCUCUCUGGACCGUAACUGACGCUGAGGCGCGAAAGCGUGGGGAGCAAACAGG